This 468-nucleotide ribosomal RNA is filed under the name uncultured bacterium. RNAcentral describes it as "partial 16S ribosomal RNA". It matches the Rfam family "Bacterial small subunit ribosomal RNA", at positions 28 to 507 of the family's 1533-position model. The record is from RNAcentral.
GACGAACGCUGGCGGCGUGCUUAACACAUGCAAGUCGAACGGAAAGGCCCUGCUUUUGUGGGGUGCUCGAGUGGCGAACGGGUGAGUAACACGUGAGUAACCUGCCCUUGACUUUGGGAUAACUUCAGGAAACUGGGGCUAAUACCGGAUAGGAGCUCCUGCUGCAUGGUGGGGGUUGGAAAGUUUCGGCGGUUGGGGAUGGACUCGCGGCUUAUCAGCUUGUUGGUGGGGUAGUGGCUUACCAAGGCUUUGACGGGUAGCCGGCCUGAGAGGGUGACCGGCCACAUUGGGACUGAGAUACGGCCCAGACUCCUACGGGAGACAGCAGUGGGGAAUAUUGCACAAUGGGCGGAAGCCUGAUGCAGCAACGCCGCGUGCGGGAUAACGGCCUUCGGGUUGUAAACCGCUUUCGCCUGUGACGAAGCGUGAGUGACGGUAAUGGGUAAAGAAGCACCGGCUAACUACGUG